AUUGAACGCUGGCGGCAUGCCUUACACAUGCAAGUCGAACGGCAGCAUGGAGAGCUUGCUCUCUGAUGGCGAGUGGCGAACGGGUGAGUAAUGCAUCGGAACGUACCGUGUAAUGGGGGAUAACGUAGCGAAAGUUACGCUAAUACCGCAUACGACCUGAGGGUGAAAGCAGGGGAUCGCAAGACCUUGCGUUAUACGAGCGGCCGAUGUCAGAUUAGCUAGUUGGUGAGGUAAAGGCUCACCAAGGCGACGCUCUGUAGCGGGUCUGAGAGGAUGAUCCGCCACACUGGGACUGAGACACGGCCCAGACUCCUCCGGGAGGCAGCAGUGGGGAAUUUUGGACAAUGGGGGCAACCCUGAUCCAGCCAUGCCGCGUGAGUGAAGAAGGCCUUCGGGUUGUAAAGCUCUUUCGGCCGGGAAGAAAUCGCACAGGCUAAUACUCUGUGUGGAUGACGGUACCGGCAUAAGAAGCACCGGCUAACUACGUGCCAGCAGCCGCCGCAG
RNAcentral lists this ribosomal RNA (504 nucleotides) under uncultured bacterium. RNAcentral describes it as "partial 16S ribosomal RNA". It matches the Rfam family "Bacterial small subunit ribosomal RNA", at positions 30 to 523 of the family's 1533-position model. The record is from RNAcentral.